This 556-nucleotide long non-coding RNA is filed under the name Capsicum annuum. RNAcentral describes it as "long non-coding RNA (CANN_LNC000386)". Lineage: Eukaryota; Viridiplantae; Streptophyta; Magnoliopsida; Solanales; Solanaceae. The record is from RNAcentral.
UUUGAGAAAAAAUUUGGGAUUUUGGAGGAGCAUUCCUUUAAUCCACGUAAUCGAAUAAUUUGAAAAGAUAACUCGAAAAGUUCGACAAACUUGUUUGAACUCGGUUGAGUGGAAUUAGAUUUUGGUGGUGAAAGCUUCAUCGUGAUAGACUCUUCGUCCGACGAGCUGCUCCAAAAUAGUCUAUUUGGACUCCCCUCUUCGUCGCAUCUAUCGUCCUCGAGUUAAAAGUCUCAUACGGAAUGGACUAAAUUGGACCAAUACAGCUGCUUAUAUACACUGAUAUACAGUGGAUAUACACUGGAAAACAGCAUCUGCACAUCAUUACGUAAAUUAUGAUGAAAAGUGGAGGGAAAAUAAGCACUUUUCAAUACUGAUAUACACUAUAUAUGCAGUGAUAUACAAGAAAAACCGCAGAGGAAUACAUGUGGUAUGCACUGCAGAAAUGGGCCCAAAAGCUGGCCAUAUUUGGGAAAAGGCCCAAAUUUUGAUUCUUCUAAUUUAUUUUGUAUAUCCUAUUUGAUUAUGUGCUUGUCUUAAAUUAUUAAUCUGGUUAGCC